UACGGAGGGUCCAAGCGUUAUCCGGAAUCAUUGGGCGUAAAGAGCUCGUAGGCGGUGUGUCGCGUCGGCCGUGAAAACCUGCAGCUUAACUGUGGGCGUGCGGUCGAUACGGGCAUCACUGGAGUUCGGCAGGGGAGACUGGAAUUCCUGGUGUAGCGGUGAAAUGCGCAGAUAUCAGGAGGAACACCGGUGGCGAAGGCGGGUCUCUGGGCCGAUACUGACGCUGAGGAGCGAAAGCGUGGGGAGCGAACAGG
This 254-nucleotide ribosomal RNA is filed under the name uncultured bacterium. RNAcentral's name for it is "partial 16S ribosomal RNA". It matches the Rfam family "Bacterial small subunit ribosomal RNA", at positions 524 to 776 of the family's 1533-position model. The record is from RNAcentral.